RNAcentral lists this ribosomal RNA (601 nucleotides) under uncultured bacterium. RNAcentral's name for it is "bacterial SSU rRNA". It matches the Rfam family "Bacterial small subunit ribosomal RNA", at positions 816 to 1422 of the family's 1533-position model. The record is from RNAcentral.
CUAGUUGUCGGGUUUUAAUUAACUUGGUAACGCAGCUAACGCGUGAAGUAGACCGCCUGGGGAGUACGGUCGCAAGAUUAAAACUCAAAGGAAUUGACGGGGACCCGCACAAGCGGUGGAUGAUGUGGAUUAAUUCGAUGCAACGCGAAAAACCUUACCUACCCUUGACAUGUACGGAAGACCGAAGAGAUUUGGUUGUGCUCGAAAGAGAACCGUAACACAGGUGCUGCAUGGCUGUCGUCAGCUCGUGUCGUGAGAUGUUGGGUUAAGUCCCGCAACGAGCGCAACCCUUGUCAUUAGUUGCUACGAAAGGGCACUCUAAUGAGACUGCCGGUGACAAACCGGAGGAAGGUGGGGAUGACGUCAGGUCCUCAUGGCCCUUAUGGGUAGGGCUUCACACGUCAUACAAUGGUACAUACAGAGGGCCGCCAACCCGCGAGGGGGAGCUAAUCCCAGAAAGUGUAUCGUAGUCCGGAUUGUAGUCUGCAACUCGACUACAUGAAGUUGGAAUCGCUAGUAAUCGCGGAUCAGCAUGUCGCGGUGAAUACGUUCCCGGGUCUUGUACACACCGCCCGUCACACCAUGGGAGCGGGUUUUACCA